GAACCGGCGAGUUACGAUUUGAUGCAAGGUUAAGCAGUAAAUGUGGAGCCGUAGCGAAAGCGAGUCUGAAUAGGGCGUUUAGUAUUUGGUCGUAGACCCGAAACCAGGUGAUCUACCCUUGGUCAGGUUGAAGUUCAGGUAACACUGAAUGGAGGACCGAACCGACUUACGUUGAAAAGUGAGCGGAUGAACUGAGGGUAGCGGAGAAAUUCCAAUCGAACCUGGAGAUAGCUGGUUCUCUCCGAAAUAGCUUUAGGGCUAGCCUCAAGUGAUGAUUAUUGGAGGUAGAGCACUGUUUGGACGAGGGGCCCCUCUCGGGUUACCGAAUUCAGACAAACUCCGAAUGCCAAUUAAUUUAACUUGGGAGUCAGAACAUGGGUGAUAAGGUCCGUGUUCGAAAGGGAAACAGCCCAGACCACCAGCUAAGGUCCCAAAAUAUAUGUUAAGUGGAAAAGGAUGUGGCGUUGCCCAGACAACUAGGAUGUUGGCUUAGAAGCAGCCAUCAUUUAAAGAGUGCGUAAUAGCUCACUAGUCGAGUGACACUGCGCCGAAAAUGUACCGGGGCUAAACAUAUUACCGAAGCUGUGGAUUGUCCUUUGGACAAUGGUAGGAGAGCGUUCUAAGGGCGUUGAAGCAUGAUCGUAAGGACAUGUGGAGCGCUUAGAAGUGAGAAUGCCGGUGUGAGUAGCGAAAGACGGGUGAGAAUCCCGUCCACCGAUUGACUAAGGUUUCCAGAGGAAGGCUCGUCCGCUCUGGGUUAGUCGGGUCCUAAGCUGAGGCCGACAGGCGUAGGCGAUGGAUAACAGGUUGAUAUUCCUGUACCACCUAUAAUCGUUUUAAUCGAUGGGGGGACGCAGUAGGAUAGGCGAAGCGUGCGAUUGGAUUGCACGUCUAAGCAGUAAGGCUGAGUAUUAGGCAAAUCCGGUACUCGUUAAGGCUGAGCUGUGAUGGGGAGAAGACAUUGUGUCUUCGAGUCGUUGAUUUCACACUGCCGAGAAAAGCCUCUAGAUAGAAAAUAGGUGCCCGUACCGCAAACCGACACAGGUAGUCAAGAUGAGAAUUCUAAGGUGAGCGAGCGAACUCUCGUUAAGGAACUCGGCAAAAUGACCCCGUAACUUCGGGAGAAGGGGUGCUCUUUAGGGUUAACGCCCAGAAGAGCCGCAGUGAAUAGGCCCAAGCGACUGUUUAUCAAAAACACAGGUCUCUGCUAAACCGUAAGGUGAUGUAUAGGGGCUGACGCCUGCCCGGUGCUGGAAGGUUAAGAGGAGUGGUUAGCUUCUGCGAAGCUACGAAUCGAAGCCCCAGUAAACGGCGGCCGUAACUAUAACGGUCCUAAGGUAGCGAAAUUCCUUGUCGGGUAAGUUCCGACCCGCACGAAAGGCGUAACGAUUUGGGCACUGUCUCAACGAGAGACUCGGUGAAAUCAUAGUACCUGUGAAGAUGCAGGUUACCCGCGACAGGACGGAAAGACCCCGUGGAGCUUUACUGUAGCCUGAUAUUGAAAUUCGGCACAGCUUGUACAGGAUAGGUAGGAGCCUUUGAAACGUGAGCGCUAGCUUACGUGGAGGCGCUGGUGGGAUACUACCCUAGCUGUGUUGGCUUUCUAACCCGCACCACUUAUCGUGGUGGGAGACAGUGUCAGGCGGGCAGUUUGACUGGGGCGGUCGCCUCCUAAAAGGUAACGGAGGCGCUCAAAGGUUCCCUCAGAAUGGUUGGAAAUCAUUCAUAGAGUGUAAAGGCAUAAGGGAGCUUGACUGCGAGACCUACAAGUCGAGCAGGGUCGAAAGACGGACUUAGUGAUCCGGUGGUUCCGCAUGGAAGGGCCAUCGCUCAACGGAUAAAAGCUACCCCGGGGAUAACAGGCUUAUCUCCCCCAAGAGUUCACAUCGACGGGGAGGUUUGGCACCUCGAUGUCGGCUCAUCGCAUCCUGGGGCUGUAGUCGGUCCCAAGGGUUGGGCUGUUCGCCCAUUAAAGCGGUACGCGAGCUGGGUUCAGAACGUCGUGAGACAGUUCGGUCCCUAUCCGUCGUGGGCGUAGGAAAUUUGAGAGGAGCUGUCCUUAGUACGAGAGGACCGGGAUGGACAUACCUCUGGUGUACCAGUUGUCGUGCCAACGGCAUAGCUGGGUAGCUAUGUGUGGACGGGAUAAGUGCUGAAAGCAUCUAAGCAUGAAGCCCCCCUCAAGAUGAGAUUUCCCAACUUCGGUUAUAAGAUCCCUCAAAGAUGAUGAGGUUAAUAGGUUCGAGGUGGAAGCAUGGUGACAUGUGGAGCUGACGAAUACUAAUCGAUCGAAGACUUAAUCA
Molecule: ribosomal RNA, 2303 nt
Filed under: Staphylococcus aureus subsp. aureus CIGC348
Lineage: Bacteria; Bacillati; Bacillota; Bacilli; Caryophanales; Staphylococcaceae
Description: bacterial LSU rRNA
Rfam family: Bacterial large subunit ribosomal RNA
Source: RNAcentral